GAUAGAUAUUGCAAUAUCAAACACUUCGUAUAUGCGCAGACCAUCUUUACUUAGGCUUGCAUUACCAGUGAUCACUU
This 77-nucleotide transfer RNA is filed under the name Shewanella piezotolerans WP3. RNAcentral describes it as "tRNA-Pro". Lineage: Bacteria; Pseudomonadati; Pseudomonadota; Gammaproteobacteria; Alteromonadales; Shewanellaceae. The record is from RNAcentral.